ACUCAAAUGAAUAGACGGGGGCCCGCACAAGCGGUGGAGCAUGUGGUUUAAUUCGACGCAACGCGAAAAACCUUACCAGGGCUUGACAUCCUCUGAACUUUGUGGAAACACAGGGGUGCCUGAAAGGGAGCAGAGAGACAGGUGGUGCAUGGUUGUCGUCAGCUCGUGUCGUGAGAUGUUGGGUUAAGUCCCGCAACGAGCGCAACCCCUGUAUUUAGUUACUAACAGGUAAAGCUGAGAACUCUAGAUAGACUGCCGGUGACAAACCGGAGGAAGGUGGGGAUGACGUCAAAUCAUCAUGCCCUGUAUGUCCUGGGCUACACACGUGCUACAAUGGGCGGUACAGACGGAAGCGAAGCCGCGAGGCGGAGCAAAUCCGAGAAAGCCGCUCUCAGUUCAGAUUGCAGGCUGCAACUCGCCUGCAUGAAGUUGGAAUCGCUAGUAAUCGCGAAUCAGCACGUCGCGGUGAAUACGUUCCCGGGCCUUGCACACACCGCCCGU
This 501-nucleotide ribosomal RNA is filed under the name uncultured bacterium. Its description in RNAcentral is "bacterial SSU rRNA". It matches the Rfam family "Bacterial small subunit ribosomal RNA", at positions 899 to 1397 of the family's 1533-position model. The record is from RNAcentral.